UUGAUGAAUUGAAGUGAUGUUCAUUUAGAUCAAUUUGCGUUUGAGUAUUCAGCAGUUAUCAUAUUGUUGGUUGUUUUCAUAUUGUUGGUUCCUAUGCUUAAUCAUUCUGCAUUUUUAUGUUACAUGGCAAUUGAUUGCCUUAUUCGAACCAACUAAAUGUAAGGAAGAGCUUGAAUAUUUUGACAUAGGUGUUUAUUCUCACUGAAUUGUGCAGCGGGUUCCAAGUUAUCAGAAGAAGAGGCAGAGAAUAGAAAGUUGAUGCCACAGUGUCAAAUACCCAAGUUGGUUCCGGGUAGUGAAUAAUGUGAUUGUCUUCAGAAGAAAGCUCUGAGAGGACUGGAUUUGCAGACUGGCUUUUUUCACCUUGAGGCAAAUUAUCUAGUUUUAUGGUUAUGUUUUUGCCUACUUUGAGUUAGUUCUCAAACAACAAUGUAAAUAUCGAAAACUCCCUUGUUUUUGUAAUCCAAGAAUUUUGCUAGAAAUGAAAAGAACAUCUUGCUAUGAAUUAAAAGUUUUAAUAUUUUCGA
This is a long non-coding RNA of Rosa chinensis, 527 nucleotides long. RefSeq lists it as uncharacterized. Lineage: Eukaryota; Viridiplantae; Streptophyta; Magnoliopsida; Rosales; Rosaceae. The record is from RefSeq and is a predicted model, not a curated record. The transcript is spliced from 3 exons.